Molecule: long non-coding RNA, 205 nt
Organism: Poeciliopsis prolifica (blackstripe livebearer)
Lineage: Eukaryota; Metazoa; Chordata; Actinopteri; Cyprinodontiformes; Poeciliidae
Exons: 3
Source: RefSeq, a predicted model, not a curated record
CUCUCAUGAAGCGAUCUUCUAUGGCAGAGGAGAAAAAUGACGAGGAUGUACAUGGAGGUGAGUUUUCACAGAGAGGAGCAGAAAGUUGAGGAGGAAUCCCUCUAAAUGAGACGCUCAGACAGAAGUGAGAGUCCUUGAUGAGAGGAUAGACUCCAGCUGGAGAGUUUCACAGCAGCAGCAGCAGCAGCAGACACACCCACAAAAC